Molecule: unclassified non-coding RNA, 430 nt
Filed under: Hevea brasiliensis (rubber tree)
Lineage: Eukaryota; Viridiplantae; Streptophyta; Magnoliopsida; Malpighiales; Euphorbiaceae
Source: RNAcentral
GCCGGAGUUUCAAACACCUAAGUUUCAAGCUCAGUUUGUUCAUUUCACCGAACACAAAAGGAAUCUGAUUUUUCUUUUAAAACUGCAUUUUUUUUCCCUCCUCUACCGCAAUGCCAAACGCGUCCUAACUCCCACUGUUCCCCGCCUCUUCCACCAUGAAAUUCCGACCAACCUCUGCACCCAUUUCGCUCUCUCUUUUUCUCUUCCCGAUAAAUUACCGCUGUCGUUCGAUAUCAACAGCUAACCAGUUGGCGUGCUUAUGGAUUCUAGAAACAUCCGACGGUGAAUGAACUGAAAUUUGCAGACAAACUGCCCUGUUGACUUCUGACUUCACUAAUGGCAUCCACUGGUUCAACGCCUACUGAUCCUUCUUCUUCUGCACCCGAGGACACGGCAGCCAAAGCCGUCAACAAGCGAUACGAAGGCUUGG